UGAUUUAUUUCUUACAAUUGACCUUCAUCUCAAAUUUGGAAUAUACCAAUAAUGAGAGGAUUCUGCCGCUGCUGCCAUAGCCGAUUUAUUUGAUAAGCUUUGUUUGAAGUCUAAACCUACCCAUAACUAGAACCCAAUUCCAAGAAAAACAACUCCAAAUUCAUUUCACCUCCACACAGAGGAAAGAGGCGCUGAGAAAGAGAAGAAAUUGUUCCUCUACCCAUAGCCGAUUUAUCUGUUUGCAUUCAAUUGAAAUCCAUCCUCUACUGACCCUUUCCCAAUCUAAAAAUUGGAGAUGUUGUGUAUGGUAUCGAAACAAUAAGCAGCAAUCAAUUUUCAUCUGGAGGGUUCCAUUUCAUAUCAAAGGAAUUAGUAGCAACCCAACCAUCUCAAAUCACAAAAUGUUUGAAAACGCACAGGAUUCCCUUGGCUGGAACGAAUCCCUAACCCUCCGCUGGCUUCUAUUGCGCUGGUUGUAGAGCUUCAAGCUUUGAAGAUGUUCAGAGUUGUACAGGCUUCAUGUUAGGGUUUAUUGGCAGAACUAUUUACCCCAAAUUAAAGAGUAUCAAAAUGUAAAGCUUAUGUGGAACAAGCUUUAUAAUCCAGAGGAUGUUAGCUGGUUCAAGAUCUGCUUGGAAUAGCUUUAGUAAGGAUAAGAAAUUGAGGUUAGCCUUCAUAGAAGAUUUAGUGGACCAUUUGACUUUAAUUGGUGAAGGUCUCAAGUGGGGUACUGACUUAGCUAAAUCCAAAGGAAUAUUCUUGGAGAAAUUGCUGGUAUCUUCAAGGUACUCUUGGCGUGGAAGAUGAAUGCAACAGUGUGUUAAAGGCCUUGGGAUUUUGGGAAACAAUUACUCACUCGAGAAAACAUUAGUAGAGAGGCUUGAAGGCAGAGUUAUCUCACUGAAAUUGAACUACAGUUAGCUUUCUACAACUGCUCCAUCAAACUGCAUGGCUUCAAGUGUUGAUAAAGUAGCUGAUCUGAAUGCCUGUAUAAAACAAGGUAUCCAUUCUUACUCUUUAAUGAACAACGAAAAUAUUGUUGUCUCUUUUCUUCUUUUUGUAACAUAAAUGGCUAGAUUGUAUAAUUUAUAACUUAUGGACCACUUUACAUGGUGCAAGGUGUUGUUGGCAAGAUAGCCAUUCAUUUAAACUAGACUAAUACCCUUGCGAUGCGCGGUUGUUGAGAUGAUAUUAUUUCUUAAUAGAGUUGAUAAUGUUGCAUUUAGCUUUAUUAAAAAUACAAAUGAGUCAUGAAUAUGUACAUAAUGCUCUAGCCUUUACGUCCCUUAUCUGUAUGCCAAUUUUUUAUCAAUAUAACUUGAGUUUUUCUUCAUAUAUUUUCAUAACUUUCUGAUGAAUUUUAAUUUAUAACUGAGUUUUUUUUCUAUUUUUAUCUGAAAACAAAUAUCAGAAGUGUUUAUAGUUUCAUGCAAAUCCUUCUUUUAUUUCUUAGCUUAAAAUAUUUUAGCUCAUGGGCUUGAACGUCCAUCCCAAGAUGCAGAAAUUGUUGAAUUUCACCAUAUAAUGUCAGAUUAAGAAUAACUGAGAUUAUGUGGGAUUUUUUAUAUUUAACAUCCAAAAGUUCAGUCUCUAGAAAUCCUUUUCAUCUUGCUUCUUAUAUAGCUGCUCCCUUUAAAAGCAUGAUUUUCUUACAUAUAAUGAAAUUAUUUAUCUCCUUAAUUGCAUGACUCACAACACUGAUCAAACAUAUACUUCCAAUUUUCUGGCAUAUAAACCUUUUUCGAAGCUCACCUGUAGACUCUAAAAUCUGAUCCACCAGCUGAAGUUUCUUAUCAUAUUCUGAUGACACAAGUCAAGCCUGCCAAUCUCAGCAACUAUGCAGGUUUUGUAUAUGGUUCCUAUGGCACAGUCCAAGCAUUUGUUCCAGCAAUAUUUGAUGAUGGAUGGUAUACACGCAAUAAGAUUGAAGUCACCUGCAUGAUUAUUUUGUAUACACACAUUAAAAUUGAAGUCAUAAGUGACUAUGUUUAUCAUUCAAUUAUCUAUGCAUCAAUUUUUUUUGUGCAUAUGAUACAAUGCAAGUUAGUUUAAUUUUUAUAA
Long non-coding RNA from Lotus japonicus, 2061 nucleotides. RefSeq lists it as uncharacterized. Lineage: Eukaryota; Viridiplantae; Streptophyta; Magnoliopsida; Fabales; Fabaceae. The record is from RefSeq and is a predicted model, not a curated record. The transcript has 7 exons.